UACGGAGGGUGCGAGCGUUGUCCGGAAUCACUGGGCGUAAAGGGCGCGUAGGUGGCUCGAUUAGUCAACGGUGAAAGCCCGGGGCUCAACCCCGGGUCGGCCGUCGAUACUCUCGUGCUUGAGCACUGUAGAGGCAGGUGGAAUUCCGGGUGUAGCGGUGGAAUGCGUAGAGAUCCGGAAGAACACCGGUGGCGAAGGCGGCCUGCUGGGCAGUAGCUGACACUGAGGCGCGACAGCGUGGGGAGCAAACAGG
RNAcentral lists this ribosomal RNA (253 nucleotides) under uncultured bacterium. Its description in RNAcentral is "partial 16S ribosomal RNA". It matches the Rfam family "Bacterial small subunit ribosomal RNA", at positions 524 to 776 of the family's 1533-position model. The record is from RNAcentral.